Molecule: ribosomal RNA, 604 nt
Filed under: Bacillus pumilus
Lineage: Bacteria; Bacillati; Bacillota; Bacilli; Caryophanales; Bacillaceae
Description: bacterial SSU rRNA
Rfam family: Bacterial small subunit ribosomal RNA
Source: RNAcentral
UGGGCGUAGAGGGCUCGCAGGCGGUUUCUUAAGUCUGAUGUGAAAGCCCCCGGCUCAACCGGGGAGGGUCAUUGGAAACUGGGAAACUUGAGUGCAGAAGAGGAGAGUGGAAUUCCACGUGUAGCGGUGAAAUGCGUAGAGAUGUGGAGGAACACCAGUGGCGAAGGCGACUCUCUGGUCUGUAACUGACGCUGAGGAGCGAAAGCGUGGGGAGCGAACAGGAUUAGAUACCCUGGUAGUCCACGCCGUAAACGAUGAGUGCUAAGUGUUAGGGGGUUUCCGCCCCUUAGUGCUGCAGCUAACGCAUUAAGCACUCCGCCUGGGGAGUACGGUCGCAAGACUGAAACUCAAAGGAAUUGACGGGGGCCCGCACAAGCGGUGGAGCAUGUGGUUUAAUUCGAAGCAACGCGAAGAACCUUACCAGGUCUUGACAUCCUCUGACAACCCUAGAGAUAGGGCUUUCCCUUCGGGGACAGAGUGACAGGUGGUGCAUGGUUGUCGUCAGCUCGUGUCGUGAGAUGUUGGGUUAAGUCCCGCAACGAGCGCAACCCUUGAUCUUAGUUGCCAGCAUUUAGUUGGGCACUCUAAGGUGACUGCCGGUGAC